UUUCCGUAGGUGAACCUGCGGAAGGAUCAUUAAAGAGUAAGGGUCUCUGGCCCGACCCUCCAACCCUCUGUUGUUAUAACUACUUCGUUGCUUUGGCGGGACCGCGAAGGUUCUCCCGAGCGCGCCAGUCUCCGGACAGGCGAGCGCCCGCCAGAGUCUAACCAAACUCUUGUUUUAAACCAGUCGUCUGAGUAUAAAAUUUUAAUUAAAUUAAAACUUUCAACAACGGAUCUCUUGGUUCUC
RNAcentral lists this unclassified non-coding RNA (243 nucleotides) under plant metagenome. Its description in RNAcentral is "partial contains small subunit ribosomal RNA, internal transcribed spacer 1, and 5.8S ribosomal RNA". The record is from RNAcentral.